CCUACGGGUGGCAGCAGUGGGGAAUAUUGCACAAUGGGGGAAACCCUGAUGCAGCGACGCCGCGUGAGCGAAGAAGUAUUUCGGUAUGUAAAGCUCUAUCAGCAGGGAAGAAAAUGACGGUACCUGAGUAACAAGCCCCGGCCAAUUACGUGCCAGCAGCCGCGGUCAUACGUAGGGGGCAAGCGUUAUCCGGAUCUACUGGGCGGAACGGGAGCGUAGGCGGCCGGCCAAGUCUGAUGUGAAAUCCCGGGGCUCAACCCCGGGGCUGCAUUGGAAACUGGCAGGCUGGAGUGCCGGAGAGGCAGGCGGAAUUCCUGGUGUAGCGGUGAAAUGCGUAGAUAUUAGGAGGAACACCAGUGGCGAAGGCGGCCUGCUGGACUGUGACUGACGCUGAGGCUCGAAAGCGUGGGGAGCAAACAGGAUUAGAUACCCUUGUAGUC
This 440-nucleotide ribosomal RNA is filed under the name uncultured bacterium. Its description in RNAcentral is "partial 16S ribosomal RNA". It matches the Rfam family "Bacterial small subunit ribosomal RNA", at positions 338 to 795 of the family's 1533-position model. The record is from RNAcentral.